Molecule: transfer RNA, 71 nt
Filed under: Streptococcus pneumoniae
Lineage: Bacteria; Bacillati; Bacillota; Bacilli; Lactobacillales; Streptococcaceae
Description: tRNA-Met
Rfam family: tRNA (bases 6-64)
About the family: Transfer RNA (tRNA) molecules are approximately 80 nucleotides in length.
Source: RNAcentral
GUAUUUAUNGCAGCUCGGUAGCUCGUCGGGCUCAUAACCCGAAGGUCGUAGGUUCAAAUCCUGCUCCCGCA